This is a non-coding RNA of Chrysemys picta bellii (western painted turtle), 3479 nucleotides long. The record is from RefSeq and is a predicted model, not a curated record. Lineage: Eukaryota; Metazoa; Chordata; Testudines; Emydidae.
CCAGCGGGGCCCCGCGCUCUGGCCUGCCUCAUUUGUUCCACAUGACAUUUCCUCAGUGCAAGGGGCUGCUCCAGAGCUAGUCCUCUGCAGCUCACGGCUGCCUUGGAUCUGGUUUGUGCCUGCGAGGGAGAUCGUCCUGCUCCCGAGCGAAUGACACAGGGGUCUGCAAGGCCAGCUCAGAACGGAGAGAUGCUCAGCAAAGGCCUGCAGGCUUCCAUGGAGGGACUCCGAGGUCACACCUAGCCGCUGGGCUCUGCUCUCUGCAAAACCAAGCCAGGUGCUGCCAGGCCUGGGCAGGAUCAGAACCACCUUCAGCAGCUCCACAACCAGGCUCUGAGUGGGGUGUUGCCUCUGCAGCUCUGCCGUCCCUCUCUCGUGUCCCAUGGGCAGUGCAGUGACCAUCUUCUCCAUCCUUUGUGGGGCCUUUGCCAUGGCCAGCACCAUCACCUCGCUCUGCACAGACUGUUGGCAGAUUAACAGCAAAGGCUCAGUUGUUCUGAGCACCCGGUGCCGUGGCCUCUGGAGAGAAUGUGUCUGGGACAAGUUUGUGAAGAUCUGGACCUGUGAUGUUUUCAGCUCCUACCUGAAUCCACAUCCAGGUAACAAAGAGCGAGGUGCAGUGGGGAGCUGCAGUUUUCCCCUGAGGCUGAUGUAUCAGAACACAACCAAUGGUAUUUGAAAGGGAGAUCAACCCCCCUGACCAAGGACUUAGACCCCUCGCUAACUACCGGGGUAGGAUGAGCCCUUCCUGUGGGACAGAUUAUCUCACACCCACUACUGCAUGGUUCUGGCAGCUGGCACUGUCGGAACCCAGAUACUGGCCUAGAGCGGCCUUGGGGCUGACCCAGCCUGCUCUUCUUGUGUUCCUACCAAUCGCACCUACCCGCUGCGCUUUGGGGCUGACUUCCAAUCAGAUCAGAGUGCUGCAGGAGAUGAAGUUCUACAAAUAAAACUUCAUUCUAGAGUCAGGGAAACUCCCUGCGAAAUGGGGCUUUCCAGAGUCUCUUGACGUGGGGCCCUUCCCUUCAGCCAGCCCACGGUCCCACUCCUGAAAGCUCCUGGUCAUUUUCCUUUGGAGGGGCACGAUCUUCCCCGGGCCACAGGGCUCGGGAGAGAGGCGGGAGGGCGCAGCAUCCAGCUGCCUGUUCAGAGCAGGCGAAUCACCCUUUCUAGGGCUAGGUGGCACUGCGAGAUAGACGCCAAGCACUGAACGCGGAGGGGAGGGAGCAUACGCGGAGAAUGACAUGGACUUUGGACUCAGAAGGCAGGAAGCAGAAGGCCACUGAUGAGGCUGCCAGCCUAGCAGGGUCUCUUUAAUGGCUACACCUGAGCAGUUGGUGUAAACACAUGUGCAGCGGCAGCUCCCAAUGGCUCCAGCAGGAGAUGCGUAAGUGCGAAGGCAGAGCGAGGCCUUGACUACGUCUCUGUGCUCCUGGCUCACACGUACUGCGCCAAACUCCAUAUUAAAGCCUUCCAGCUGCACAACUCCUUGCUUCCUGUUUAAAUCCUUCAGCCCUCGGCCCACACACUGUCUGUCCCCAGCUCUACCGCUCAUCAGAAAAAUUCAGAAUGUUGGCAUCCUCUUCCCCCCAAAUUGAAACAAUGUCCAAAAAAUUGCCAUCAGCUUCCAUCAGAGGAUCAUGCCCAGCAGUCACCACUGAUCUGCAAUGGGGUCAAACUGGUGACCAGCAUCAUAGCCCGUUACCAGCCCCUUGCACCAUCCAUCCUCCGUGGGUACAGCCCUAAAUCCAGGACUGCACCCACUAGCCCCAUGUCUCUGGGCUCACUCUCUAGCACUCUCCUGCUCAUGGUUUGUUUGCUUCUUUUUAUAAGCUGCAAUCAUUCUCACACGGACGCUGCUGAUCACUUCCAGCAUUGCUAGUGCUGGUGCAUUUCUCUGCCUGCUGUUGGGAUUUAAAUAUUUCAGCUGCUGUCAGGAACCUCUGGCUAAACAACAGUGGCUCUGCCUGGCUGCCGGACUCUUCUUCCUCGUAGGCAUUUCAACCUCUGUUGGUGUCAUAAGAUACUGCGUGUAUGUCUACUCCCUGCACCAGUACGAGGUGUCUCUAAAAAUCCCAGGAUUCCCAAGCUUUGAAUACGGCUACUCCCUAUGGAUGGCUGUGGGGGGCAGCCUAGGGGCUAUUGCUGCAGCUGGUGUAUCCUGUUAUGAAGUCCUGUUUAAAAAAGAUCCCAGGGCAAAUGCAAAUGCAGUGAAGGAAGUAUCUGGGAGUGGGUGCACUGCUGGCAUGGACAUUGUGCGUACCUAUGUGUGAGCGAGAAGAGAUCUCCUGAGCCGGAGGACAUCAGCAGUGUCACCGAAAGUCACAGCUUGGUGACGUUUGACACAGCUCUGUGUGUGGAAAGGCUGGGAGAUCUGCUUUGUGAGCGUUUCUCAGAUACUGGUUCCUAAGGAUUAGGCUCAAGUAAGGGAUACAUUUGACAGGUUUCCCUGCUAGAUUUCUAGAAAUGUUUUUGGUAUCUACAGUUAGAUGGAACAGGCCGUGCAACUUCUCCCCAGAUCUCCUGGCCCGUGUUAUUCGCAUAUUGCUUUGGCCUGCUUUGCAUGCAGUAAAUAAGACGCCAAACUAAAGUUUGAGUCCAGGCAGGUAAAAGCGACUUGCUAAUUCGGUGCUCUGGGCUGUCAUAUGGGCCAAUAGAGACAAUGUGAUGUGAACACUUCGUCCAUAGUGCCCAAUAUGUAAUCACAUUCCCUUUGUUUUAGCCUUUGAACACCCCAUUUUCUGUACUGCUUUUGGAGGUUUUCCCCUACUUGGCAUUGGAGGCCUCAGCUGGAGGCAGUUCUGGGCAGCACACUUAAAGAAAGAUGGCGAGAGUACCCUGCAGAACCCCCAAAAACGAUGCAAAGUUUAGAAAACCUGACCCACAAGGAAAGGUUCAAAAAAUUGGGCACAGUCAAUCUUGAGAAAAGACGGGGGGCACCCAUGGGUGGCGGGUAUAAUAGGCUUUGCCUUCCCUGGCAUUGCUGUUGACCCACCGCUGGACAACUGGGCCACGAUGUCCCCGCCUCUCCUGAGACCCCCACCGCCUCCUCCACUCCAUCCCCCGCCUCUCCUGAGACCCCCACCGCCUCCUCCACUCCAUCCCCCGCCUCUCCUGAGACCCCCACCGCCUCCUCCACUCCAUCCCCCGCCUCUCCUUGAGACCCCCACCGCCUCCUCCACUCCAUCCCCCGCCUCUCCUGAGACCCCCCACCGCCUCCCCCACUCCAUCCCCCACCCCGAAGGUCCCGGCUGCUCUCCACGUCCCUCCUCCUCGGGACGGGGGAGUGUGGAGUGAUGUGGAAAGCCAGCAGCCAGCAGACUGAGGACGCUCGUCCAGACGCGCUGGGGCCGGUGGCUCGGGGCGGGGCCUUCAGGGGCGGGAGGAUCUGGUGCUCGGGGAGGAUGCUGGUGGCUCGGCUUGGCCCGGCCCGACUCUGGCGGGGGUGGGGACAUCAGGGCCGGGGGGGGGAGGAGGCC